RNAcentral lists this ribosomal RNA (486 nucleotides) under uncultured bacterium. RNAcentral's name for it is "bacterial SSU rRNA". It matches the Rfam family "Bacterial small subunit ribosomal RNA", at positions 19 to 518 of the family's 1533-position model. The record is from RNAcentral.
CUGGCUCAGGACGAACGCUGGCGGCGUGCCUAACACAUGCAAGUCGAACGGAGUAAUGACUUCGGUAUUACUUAGUGGCGAACGGGUGAGUAACACGUGAAUAAUCUGCCCUGUACGAUGGGAUAACAGCUGGAAACGGCUGCUAAUACCGUAUAUGACCACGCCGAGGCAUCUCGGAGGGGUGAAAGCGCUUAAGCGGUACAGGAUGAGUUCGCGUCCAAUUAGCUAGUUGGUGAGGUAACGGCCCACCAAGGCGACGAUUGGUAGCCGACCUGAGAGGGUGAUCGGCCACACUGGAACUGAGACACGGUCCAGACUCCUACGGGAGGCAGCAGUGGGGAAUAUUGGGCAAUGGAGGAAACUUACCUUACCCAGCAAUGCCGCGUGAGUGAUGAAGGUCUUCGGAUUGUAAAGCUCUUUGAUUGGGGACGAAUAAAUGACGGUACCCAAGGAACAAGCCCCGGCUAACUAUGUGCCAGCCGCGGC